RNAcentral lists this ribosomal RNA (301 nucleotides) under uncultured bacterium. Its description in RNAcentral is "partial 16S ribosomal RNA". It matches the Rfam family "Bacterial small subunit ribosomal RNA", at positions 509 to 807 of the family's 1533-position model. The record is from RNAcentral.
CAGUAGCCGCGGUAAUACGUAGGGUGCGAGCGUUAAUCGGAAUUACUGGGCGUAAAGCGUGCGCAGGCGGUUCGUUAAGACAGAUGUGAAAUCCCCGGGCUCAACCUGGGAACUGCAUUCGUGACUGGCAAGCUAGAGUAUGGCAGAGGGGGGUGGAAUUCCACGUGUAGCAGUGAAAUGCGUAGAGAUGUGGAGGAACACCGAUGGCGAAGGCAGCCCCCUGGGCCAAUACUGACGCUGAGGCGCGAAAGCGUGGGGAGCAAACAGGAUUAGAUACCCGCGUAGUCCCUGUCUCUUAUAC